GAUGAAGAGCGCAGCGAAAUGCGAUAAGUAAUGUGAAUUGCAGAAUUCAGUGAAUCAUCGAAUCUUUGAACGCACAUUGCGCCCGCCAGUAUUCUGGCGGGCAUGCCUGUUCGAGCGUCAUUUCAACCAUCAAGCCCCCGGGCUUGUGUUGGGGACCUGCGGCUGCCGCAGGCCCUGAAAAGCAGUGGCGGGCUCGCUGUCACACCGAGCGUAGUAGAUUUUAUCUCGCUCUGGGCGUGCUGCGGGUUCCGGCCGUUAAACCACCCUUUUAACCCAAGGUUGACCUCGGAUCAGGUAGGAAGACCCGCUGAACUUAAGCAUAUCAAUAAGCGGAGGA
This 337-nucleotide unclassified non-coding RNA is filed under the name soil metagenome. RNAcentral describes it as "partial contains 5.8S ribosomal RNA, internal transcribed spacer 2, and large subunit ribosomal RNA". The stretch from base 1 to 120 matches the Rfam family "5.8S ribosomal RNA", at positions 35 to 154 of the family's 154-position model. The record is from RNAcentral.